GAUGAACGCUGGCGGCGUGCUUAACACAUGCAAGUCGAACGAUGAUGCCCAGCUUGCUGGGUGGAUUAGUGGCGAACGGGUGAGUAACACGUGAGUAACCUGCCCUUGACUCUGGGAUAAGCCUGGGAAACUGGGUCUAAUACCGGAUACGACCAUCUGGCGCAUGUCAUGGUGGUGGAAAGCUUUUGUGGUUUUGGAUGGACUCGCGGCCUAUCAGCUUGUUGGUGGGGUAAUGGCCUACCAAGGCGACGCGGGGAAGCCGGCCUGGGAGGGUGACCGGCACCACUGGGACUGAGACACGGCCCAGACUCCAACGGGAGGCAGCGGUGGGGAAUAUUGCACAAUGGGCGCAAGCCUGAUGCAGCGACGCCGCGUGAGGGAUGACGGCCUUCGGGUUGUAAACCUCUUUCAGUAGGGAAGAGGCGAAAGUGACGGUACCUGCAGAAGAAGCGCCGGCUAACUACGUG
Molecule: ribosomal RNA, 467 nt
Filed under: uncultured bacterium
Lineage: Bacteria
Description: partial 16S ribosomal RNA
Rfam family: Bacterial small subunit ribosomal RNA
Source: RNAcentral